UACGUAGGGGGCAAGCGUUGUCCGGAUUUAUUGGGCGUAAAGAGCGUGUAGGCGGCCAGGUAGGUCCGUUGUGAAAACUCGAGGCUCAACCUCGAGAUGUCGAUGGAAACCAUCUGGCUAGAGUCCGGAAGAGGAGAGUGGAAUUCCUGGUGUAGCGGUGAAAUGCGCAGAUAUCAGGAAGAACACCGGUGGCGAAGGCGGUUCUCUGGGCCUUACCUGACGCUGAGGAGCGAAAGCGUGGGGAGCGAACAGG
This 253-nucleotide ribosomal RNA is filed under the name uncultured bacterium. RNAcentral describes it as "partial 16S ribosomal RNA". It matches the Rfam family "Bacterial small subunit ribosomal RNA", at positions 524 to 776 of the family's 1533-position model. The record is from RNAcentral.